Molecule: long non-coding RNA, 276 nt
Filed under: Apteryx rowi (Okarito brown kiwi)
Lineage: Eukaryota; Metazoa; Chordata; Aves; Apterygiformes; Apterygidae
Description: lncRNA (ENSARWG00000016812.1)
Source: RNAcentral
ACAGAUUUCUUUUUUAUUUCCACUCAUUUUCAGGGUGGUUCUUCCCAAACAAAGUUGAGCAGCCAGGGUACGUUUCUUGAAGAGUUGGGCCUAGCAAUAUGGCAGCGCACAUUCGAUAAGAAAUCUUGUAAAGUGCUGCUACUGAGUUCAAUCCUGAAGAAGUGCACAGAACACGUUUGUGUGCAUGAUAUGGCUCUGUUCUGCGUCCAGGACCACAUGCUCUCCCACCCGUUUCCUUGGCCACCGCACACACUUUGCAGGGCCAGAAGUCUUUGA